This 253-nucleotide ribosomal RNA is filed under the name uncultured bacterium. RNAcentral's name for it is "partial 16S ribosomal RNA". It matches the Rfam family "Bacterial small subunit ribosomal RNA", at positions 524 to 776 of the family's 1533-position model. The record is from RNAcentral.
UACGUAGGGGGCAAGCGUUGUCCGGAUUUAUUGGGCGUAAAGAGCGUGUAGGCGGCCAGAUAGGUCCGUUGUGAAAACUCGAGGCUCAACCUCGAGACGCCGAUGGAAACCAUCUGGCUAGAGUCCGGAAGAGGAGAGUGGAAUUCCUGGUGUAGCGGUGAAAUGCGCAGAUAUCAGGAAGAACACCAGUGGCGAAGGCGGCUCACUGGACCGGUAUUGACGCUGAGGUGCGAAAGCGUGGGGAGCAAACAGG